Molecule: ribosomal RNA, 440 nt
Filed under: uncultured bacterium
Lineage: Bacteria
Description: bacterial SSU rRNA
Rfam family: Bacterial small subunit ribosomal RNA
Source: RNAcentral
CCUACGGGUGGCAGCAGUAGGGAAUUGUCGGCAAUGGGCGAAAGCCUGACCGCGCGACGCCGCGUGGAGGAAGACGGCCUUCGGGUUGUAAACUUCUUUUAUGAGGGACGAUUAUGACGGUACCUCACGAAUAAGGGGCUGCUAACUACGUGCCAGCAGCAGCGGUAAUACGUAGGCCCCGAGCAUUAUCCGGAAUUAUUGGGCGUAAAGAAUGUGUAGGUGUUCCUACAAGUCGGUCGUUAAAUCUCACCGCCUAACGGUGAGGCCGCGAGCGAAACUGUAGGAAUUGAGGUUUGCAGGGGCAAGUAGAAUUCUUGGAGUAGGGGUGAAAUCCGUUGAUACCAAGAGGAAUACCAAUGGCGAAGGCAGCUUGCUGGGCAAUACCUGACACUGAGACAUGAAAGCGUGGGGAGCAAACGGGAUUAGAUACCCUGGUAGUC